Non-coding RNA from Triticum urartu, 135 nucleotides. NCBI's taxonomy places the organism in Eukaryota, Viridiplantae, Streptophyta, Magnoliopsida, Poales, Poaceae. The record is from Rfam.
UUACUACUCCCUCCGUCCCAAAAUUCUUGUCUUAGAUUUGUCUUGAUACAGAUGUAUGUAAUACUAAAACGUGACUUGAUACAUCCGUAUUUAGACAAAUCUAAGACAAGAAUUUUGGGACAGAGGGAGUAGAUG